Molecule: ribosomal RNA, 465 nt
Filed under: uncultured bacterium
Lineage: Bacteria
Description: partial 16S ribosomal RNA
Rfam family: Bacterial small subunit ribosomal RNA
Source: RNAcentral
GACGAACGCUGGCGGCGUGCUUAACACAUGCAAGUCGAACGGUAAGGCCCCUUCGGGGGUACACGAGUGGCGAACGGGUGAGUAACACGUGAGCAACCUGCCCUUGACUCUGGAAUAACAGUUGGAAACAGCUGCUAAUACUGGAUAUUCAUCGUCUCCUUCCUGGGGGGUGGUGGAAAGCUCCGGCGGUCAGGGAUGGGCUCGCGGCCUAUCAGCUUGUUGGUGAGGUAAUGGCUCACCAAGGCUUCGACGGGCAGCCGGCCUGAGAGGGCGACCGGCCACACUGGGACUGAGAUACGGCCCAGACUCCUACGGGAGGCAGCAGUGGGGAAUAUUGCACAAUGGGCGCAAGCCUGAUGCAGCAACGCCGCGUGCGGGAUGACGGCCUUCGGGUUGUAAACCGCUUUCAGUAGGGACGAAGGGUGACUGACGGUACCUACAGAAGAAGGACCGGCUAACUACGUG